This 1476-nucleotide ribosomal RNA is filed under the name Triticum aestivum (bread wheat). Its description in RNAcentral is "partial small subunit ribosomal RNA". Lineage: Eukaryota; Viridiplantae; Streptophyta; Magnoliopsida; Poales; Poaceae. The record is from RNAcentral.
AUGCUCCCGCUCGCCCGCGCGGCCCUCCGCCGCCUCGGCCCCGUGACCGCGGGGGACGGCUCCCUCCCCGCCCGCCUCCUCCUCCUCGCGCCGCUCGCCUCCAAGCCGUCGUCGUCCACGCCGCCGGAGUACCAGAUGCCGUCGGUGACGUGGGGCGUGAUCCAGGGCCGCAGGGAGCGGCUCGUGUCCCGCGUCCUCGCCCUCGACUUCCUCCGCUCCGCCGGCGUCACCGACCCCGCGGGCGAGCUGGAGGCCGUGGAGCUCCCCUCCUCCCUCGACGUGCUCCAGGAGCGCCUCGACUUCCUCCUCCGCCUCGGCCUCUCCACCGACGACCUCUCCGCCUACCCGUUCCUCCUCGCCUGCUCCCUCCGCAAGAACGUCAUCCCCGUCCUCUCCUACCUCGAGAAGCUCGGCGUCACGCGCGCGCGCCUCGCCGCCUUCGUCCGCGCCUACCCGGCCUGCCUCCACGCCUCCGUCGCCGUCGACCUCGCCCCCAUCGUCAAGGCGCUCCGCGGCCUCGACGUCGACCGCCAGGACAUCCCACGCGUCCUCGAGCGCUACCCCGACGUCCUCGGCCUCAAGCCCGACGGCACCAUCAGCACCUCCGUCGCCUACCUCGUAGGCAUCGUCGGCGUCGCGCCGCGUGACAUUGGCCCCAUGGUGACACACUAUCCCUUCUUCCUUAGCAUGCGUGUUGGCACCACGAUCAAGCCGUUCUGCGAUUACAUCACAUCUCUGGGGCUGCCGAUGCGGAUUCUCGCGAGGAUUAUUGAGAAGCGGCCGUACAUUCUUGGCUAUGAUCUUGAGGAGACAGUCAAACCAAAUGUCGAGGCAUUGCUCAGCUUCGGCAUUCGGAAGGAGGUGCUGCCACUCAUGAUUGCGCAGUACCCAUCCAUUCUUGGGUUGCCCCUGAAAGUGAAGCUAGCAGCACAGCAGUACUUCUUCAACCUGAAGCUCAAAAUCGACCCUGACGGGUUUGCCCGUGCCAUCGAGAAGUUGCCACAGCUUGUGAGCUUGCAUCAGAAUGUGAUACUGAAGCCCGUGGAGUUCCUCCGCGGCCGGGGGAUCACCGAUGAUGAUAUUGGGCGCAUGUUGAUCCGGUGCCCGCAGAUUCUUUUGCUGCGGAACGAGCUCAUGAAGAACAGCUUUUACUUCUUCAAGAGUGAGCUGAAGCGGCCAAUAAGUGAGCUUCUGGAGUACCCAGAGUAUUUUACAUACAGCUUGGAGUCAAGGAUCAAGCCUAGGUACAUGAGAGUGGCAAGCAAGGGGAUCAGAUGUAGCUUGGAUUGGUUUCUGAACUGCAGUGAUCAGAGGUUUGAGGAAAGGAUGCGAGGGGAUUUUAUUGAAGGGGAUGCACCAGGUCCUUCGUUUACAAUGGGUGGGAAGCUUCAGAUGCCUGGCAACCAGUUAGUGUCGGAUGAUGAUAAUGAGGAAAGUGACGAUGAGGUGCUAUAUAGGCGGACCGUCAUGCUCUAA